UGAGGCAGCACAGUCUUUCAGGUGGGACGGACAGGGGAAAUCCCAGGGCAGAUAAGGGUCAAAACAAGACUACAGACAAGCAGGAGAAUAACCCAAAAGGCUGGAAUGCUGCAGAGAAACAGCAUCUUUCUGGCAGAGAACUAGUGAGCUGCAAUCUUGGAAUGAAGUGCAAGACAGGAAAGCCAGGAAGAUCCUCAACUCUGCCAUCCCAUCAACACAGAGCCAAAAACCACAGGUGGUGUUGUCUUAAAGUUGAAUAAUGGCAUCUGGACCUGAAAUCUUCUUUGAGUGGUGCAGGGUUCAAGUUCCAUAUAUACCCUCCAGAUGGUUCUCUCAUGUUUCUGCAAUUGCAUGGCUCAGUAAGGGAGACAAUGAUGAUGAACCAGAUUAUACGCCUCUCCUCUUGUAAUUGCCCAUAGCCCCAUCAUGGGGUCAUUGGGUGUGGUCAUGCUAGAGUUUUGGUUUUCUUUGGGACCAAAGAAAAGGAAUGUGUCUGAGGCCGUCCCCUUUGUUGAGGAAAGAGGUAUAUGUAUAGGUAAAAGUAAAUGUACAUGCUUUGCUUCUCUGACCCCUCUUUUAAACUGUUCGUCUUCUCUGUCAAGAAUCUGUACAUUUUCGUCUUCAAUUGAGUGUCCUUUAAGUGUGAAUAAAUGAUAAAUAAGGAUGUCCAGUUGCUGGGACAUCCUCUUGUGUAAUGGCUGUUUGGUUUCUCCAAUGUAAAGCUGUAAGCAUUCUUUACUCCUCUGGUCUUUAUGAACGUAAAUGCUUAAUUUUUGUUUGGGUGUCUUUGAGGCUUCUGCCUCUGUGUGUUGGUGACUUAAUGGAUUUGUGUUUCCAUU
Molecule: non-coding RNA, 839 nt
Organism: Oryzias latipes (Japanese medaka)
Lineage: Eukaryota; Metazoa; Chordata; Actinopteri; Beloniformes; Adrianichthyidae
Source: RefSeq, a predicted model, not a curated record